RNAcentral lists this unclassified non-coding RNA (614 nucleotides) under Zea mays. RNAcentral's name for it is "misc RNA Zm00001eb367180". The record is from RNAcentral. Lineage: Eukaryota; Viridiplantae; Streptophyta; Magnoliopsida; Poales; Poaceae.
CUCCCCCCCCCUCUUUGCAUGGACAUGGAUAGGCAGUGAGAAAAAUACAUGGAUUGUUUGAGUAGUUGCAACUCGAAGCGAUGCUAUCCAAGCCACCCAAAGAUGGUGCACCCGAAUCUGGAGAUAUUUAAGCACAAUCCCCGAAUCAUGAUUAUUAAGUUAAUAAAUAGAGAGGCAAUCUGCCACCUUCAUACCACAGAAGUGCUCAACACUUGUCGAAUGGAUGGCAUAAAAACAGAACCUAGAGGUGAUUAGAUAGAAAUGACAAACACAAAGGGAUGGGAAAAGGGCAAAAGAUGGAAGAACCACCUACCCCUAUCCGGCUAUCCCACAGUAGCCAACGAGCCCAGAAACAUCUCAAGCAUACAUGUGACGUAAAGAAAGUACCUAUGAAUCUUUGCCCCACCUUUUCCACCUCCACUCUGCUUGCCGUCACCUGCACUACCAUGCCUAUCCCUCAGCUCCAUAAUCAUGAACAACUACUCACCUCCACAAGUGUCUUCCACGCCUACAGCUACCUCAUCUCCAACGCAAUCUGGGGGAUUCGGCAGCAGCAAGGGAAGAGCUGUCACCACAGUGGCAAUGCCCCUAGCACAGCCUUGACAUGCCACAUA